UGCCAGCCGCCGCGGUAAUACGGAGGGGGUUAGCGUUGUUCGGAAUUACUGGGCGUAAAGCGCACGUAGGCGGACUGUUAAGUUAGAGGUGAAAUCCCGGGGCUCAACCCCGGAACUGCCUCUGAUACUGGUAGUCUUGAGUUCGAGAGAGGUGAGUGGAACUCCGAGUGUAGAGGUGAAAUUCGUAGAUAUUCGGAAGAACACCAGUGGCGAAGGCGGCUCACUGGCUCGAUACUGACGCUGAGGUACGAAAGUGUGGGGAGCAAACAGGAUUAGAUA
RNAcentral lists this ribosomal RNA (279 nucleotides) under uncultured bacterium. RNAcentral describes it as "partial 16S ribosomal RNA". It matches the Rfam family "Bacterial small subunit ribosomal RNA", at positions 506 to 784 of the family's 1533-position model. The record is from RNAcentral.